AGAGUUGCAUAGCUCCGUAACUGGUAAAAAAAUAUUUACUUAAUGUGAACAGAAAAUGAGAUAUUUUUCAGUAUAAAAUGAUCAUACAAUUCUUUAUGCGAUAUAUGCAGAGAAGAAAAGAGAUAUGGAUAAAAUUCACAAAUUUAUUUAUGCUUUGAUAUUUUUUCUUGCACUAUUUCUUGUCGUCAAUGCAAGAAAUGGAUGCAUUGUUGACCCCAGAUGUCCAUACCAACAGUGUCGCCGACCACUUUAUUGUCGACGUCGUUAGGUUGACAAAUAUUUCCUUACAACUUUUUCACCAGAAAUAACACUGUCAAUCUUUUGAUUUCUCCCGCAGUUGAAAAUUUUUAUUAACAGGUUUAGAAGGUUUGAUUAGUUUUAGAUGUUAUGAGAAACUACAAUGAUAUGGGUGGAACUUGGAAAGUGAAGAAGCCUUUUUGGCUGAAGGAGUUUAUUACUAAGUAGUCUUUUAUUUUUGGCUUGGUUAUUUGAAUUCCAUAAAGACAGAAAUGUAAUUUCAGAAUAGUGUCUCUGCACUAUAAAUGUAGGCUUUAAGCCAAAACCCUAAUCUACGAAGAAUCUGAAAUUGUUAUUUACUUGUUCUUAUUAGUUUAGUGAAAACCUAGCAGAAUUUUACGGUAUUUUUUUAAUUUAUCAAUCUUUAGAAUAGAAAACUCUAUCGGUUAUGGGAUCGCAUACAACAAAGAAAACCAAAACUGGAAUUACUUGCUUUUGAUGGAUCAGAACCCUUAGAUUGGUUAUUUCAAGCUGAACAAAUAUUUCCUUAUAACAACCAAGUUGUUUGGGCUCCAGUGGCAAGGAGCUCCUUCCAAGGACGUAUCAGACGUAUCAGAGGAAUACCGGGUUCGAUUCCCAGGGGGAACAACGCUUGGCCAGUGCGCUUGCCUCUACGCAUGAGCUGGAUUAGUCGUCCACCUUUGGUGGGUCGGAAACUGGUGCGAAAGCUAAAAAAAAAAAAAAAUUCCUUAUAACUUUUUCACCAUAAAUUAUAAUUCUAUUUAAAUUCUCUAA
Long non-coding RNA from Medicago truncatula (barrel medic), 1032 nucleotides. RefSeq lists it as uncharacterized. Lineage: Eukaryota; Viridiplantae; Streptophyta; Magnoliopsida; Fabales; Fabaceae. The record is from RefSeq and is a predicted model, not a curated record. The transcript is spliced from 2 exons.